CCUACGGGAGGCAGCAGUGAGGAAUAUUGGUCAAUGGCCGUAAGGCUGAACCAGCCAAGUCGCGUGCAGGAAGAAGGACCUAUGGUUUGUAAACUUCUUUUAUAGGGGAAUAAAGUUAUCCACGUGUGGAUUUUUGCAUGUACCCUAUGAAUAAGCAUCGGCUUACGCCGUGCCAGCAGCCGCGGUAAUACGGAGGAUGCGAGCGUUAUCCGGAUUUAUUGGGUUUAAAGGGUGCGUAGGUUGUUUUUUAAGUCAGCGGUGAAAGUUUGUGGCUCAACCAUAAAAUUGCCGUUGAAACUGGAAGACUGGAGUGUGUUUGAGGUAGGCGGAAUGCGUGGUGUAGCGGUGAAAUGCAUAGAUAUCACGAAGAACUCCGAUUGCGAAGGCAGCUUACUAAGCCAUAACUGACACUGAAGCACGAAAGCGUGGGGAGCAAACAGGAUUAGAUACCCGUGUAGUC
RNAcentral lists this ribosomal RNA (460 nucleotides) under uncultured bacterium. RNAcentral's name for it is "partial 16S ribosomal RNA". It matches the Rfam family "Bacterial small subunit ribosomal RNA", at positions 338 to 795 of the family's 1533-position model. The record is from RNAcentral.